RNAcentral lists this ribosomal RNA (477 nucleotides) under uncultured bacterium. Its description in RNAcentral is "partial 16S ribosomal RNA". It matches the Rfam family "Bacterial small subunit ribosomal RNA", at positions 28 to 523 of the family's 1533-position model. The record is from RNAcentral.
GACGAACGCUGGCGGCGUGCUUAACACAUGCAAGUCAAACGGUAAGGCCCUUCGGGGUACACGAGUGGCGAACGGGUGAGUAACACGUGGGUGAUCUGCCCUGCACUUCGGGAUAAGCCUGGGAAACUGGGUCUAAUACCGGAUAGGACUCCUGCCUGCAUGGGUGGGGGUGGAAAGCUUUUGCGGUGUGGGAUGGGCCCGCGGCCUAUCAGCUUGUUGGUGGGGUGAUGGCCUACCAAGGCGACGACGGGUAGCCGGCCUGAGAGGGUGACCGGCCACACUGGGACUGAGAUACGGCCCAGACUCCUACGGGAGGCAGCAGUGGGGAAUAUUGCACAAUGGGCGCAAGCCUGAUGCAGCGAUGCCGCGUGAGGGAUGACGGCCUUCGGGUUGUAAACCUCUUCAGCACAGACGAAGCGCAAGUGACGGUAUGUGCAGAAGAAGGACCGGCCAACUACGUGCCAGCCGCCGCCGUAA